GACUACUCCCUACGGACCGCGUUAUAGUAAGUACGUUUUCACCCUCGGGUGACAGGGAGACAGGUGGUGCAUGGUUGUCGUCAGCUCGUGUCGUGAGAUGUUGGGUUAAGUCCCGCAACGAGCGCAACCCCUACGUUUAGUUGCUAACGCGUGAAGGCGAGCACUCUAGACGAACUGCCGUUGACAAAACGGAGGAAGGUGGGGAUGACGUCAAAUCAUCAUGCCCCUUAUGUUCUGGGCUACACACGUGCUACAAUGGCCGGUACAGACGGACGCAAAGCCGCGAGGUGGAGCAAAUCCUAAAAGCCGGUCUCAGUUCGGAUUGUAGGCUGCAACUCGCCUACAUGAAGUCGGAAUCGCUAGUAAUCGCGGAUCAGCACGCCGCGGUGAAUACGUUCCCGGGCCUU
RNAcentral lists this ribosomal RNA (407 nucleotides) under uncultured Pelotomaculum sp. RNAcentral describes it as "bacterial SSU rRNA". It matches the Rfam family "Bacterial small subunit ribosomal RNA", at positions 983 to 1382 of the family's 1533-position model. The record is from RNAcentral. Lineage: Bacteria; Bacillati; Bacillota; Clostridia; Eubacteriales; Desulfotomaculaceae.